GGUUCCUACCCGCGAGGCACGAGCGCGAGCCCUGAGAGCCUUUGCGGCUGGUGCUGUACGUGGAGAAACUUGUCAGUUUUAGUAAAUCCCGUUAAUGGUAGCAAUCACUGAGGCUGAAACUCCAGGAGACAAGGCACGGACCCCCUGGAAUGCGGAUUCUAGCAUGCCGACACUUGCUGUGAGCUGUGAAACUCCAAGACCGUGUUAAUAAAACCAACCCUGGAUCACCGGGCGGAGCCAGUGACCUGAGGACAGGAAUGAGCCUUGGAGAGCACGGAGGAGCCAAGAUUUCAGAGAGCGAGGAAGGAGUACGGAGGGACUUGGAGAUUCAGGGUCUUCCUGGUUUGGGACGAGUGGAGAGCGGCAGCUCUUGCUGGGUCUCCAGCCCAAAAGGAAGGUCAGCGGGCUGUGUUUCGGCUUCUCUGACCUAGCAGGUUUCCACCCCAACAUCUGAUUCCCGAUUCUUUAUUGCCACUUCUCCCGCCGUUGUCCUCCUGCUUGAGCGACUUCUGCUGCCGCCGCCACCGGGAACCCCAGCCCCGAACCCCAGCCUCGAAUGCCUCAAAGUUCCUCAGCCACAAACAUCACAGCAGAUUUGGAGAAUGAAGGCAACCAGCUAAGUAAGGAACCUGAAGACCACUGGGCAAAUGAGACAUCCGAAGAAAAAGGAAGAAUCAAUAAGAGAAAGUGGCCCAAGAAAAAGAGUAAAUUGACCUAAUGGUGCAUCACACCUCCAACAGGGUGGAAUUUCAUCAUUUUUCCCUAAUGCUUGUUUUUGCUGCUCUCCACAAACACAAAAGGCAAAUGAUCUUUUUGUGGUCCCAAUUAAACUAAAAUUCAAAGCUGGCUUUGGAGUUGGAGCAUGGCUCUCCUCUUCUCUAAACCCAAGCAGGCUUGUUAAAGAAAAAUCCAAAAUCUCUGUCUCAUGUCAGAAGAGCCACCUGGUAUGGGACAGAAGACAGCCAAAAUUAAGGGACUUUUCUAUGGUCACUAAUCUCAUAAUCCUUUGGUUUUGUUUUGACUCUUUAAAACUUUUCUUAAGAUAUAUCAUCUCAAAAUUUGUAGGAUUAUAUAUAAUAUAUAUCAUACAUAUAGUAUGUAAUAGAUAGUUAUAUAAUAUAUAAUCCUAUACACUUAUAUAACUAUCAUAUAUAAAAUCUGUCAGGAUAUCAGUGGUCAUACAGAGUACUAACUAA
This 1196-nucleotide long non-coding RNA is filed under the name Cricetulus griseus (Chinese hamster). RNAcentral's name for it is "lncRNA (ENSCGRG00015039708.1)". The record is from RNAcentral. Lineage: Eukaryota; Metazoa; Chordata; Mammalia; Rodentia; Cricetidae.